CGCGGCCUAUCAGCUUGUUGGUGAGGUAAUGGCUCACCAAGGCAUCGACGGGUAGCUGGUCUGAGAGGACGAUCAGCCACACUGGGACUGAGACACGGCCCAGACUCCUACGGGAGGCAGCAGUAGGGAAUCUUGCGCAAUGGGGGAAACCCUGACGCAGCAACGCCGCGUGUGGGAUGACGGCUUUCGGGUUGUAAACCACUUUCAGUGAUGACGAAAAUGACGGUAAUCACAGAAGAAGGUCCGGCCAACUACGUGCCAGCAGCCGCGGUAACACGUAGGGACCGAGCGUUGUCCGGAUUUAUUGGGCGUAAAGAGCUCGUAGGCGGUUCUGUAAGUCGGAUGUGAAAACUCAGGGCUCAACCCUGAGACGCCAUCUGAUACUGCAGUGACUUGAGUCCGGUAGAGGAGUGUGGAAUUCCUGGUGUAGCGGUGAAAUGCGCAGAUAUCAGGAGGAACACCAGCGGCGAAGGCGGCACUCUGGGCCGGUACUGACGCUGAGGAGCGAAAGCAUGGGGAGCAAACAGGAUUAGAUACCCUGGUAGUCCAUGCCGUAAACGUUGGGCACUAGGUAUGGGAUCAUAUCAACGGAUUCCGUGCCGUAGCUAACGCAUUAAGUGCCCCGCCUGGGGAGUACGG
This 639-nucleotide ribosomal RNA is filed under the name uncultured Actinomycetes bacterium. RNAcentral's name for it is "bacterial SSU rRNA". It matches the Rfam family "Bacterial small subunit ribosomal RNA", at positions 232 to 885 of the family's 1533-position model. Lineage: Bacteria; Bacillati; Actinomycetota; Actinomycetes. The record is from RNAcentral.